UACAGAGGUCCCAAGCGUUGUUCGGAUUUACUGGGCGUAAAGGGUGCGUAGGUGGUGAGGUAAGUUUGAUGUGAAAUCUCCGGGCUCAACCCGGAAAUGGCAUUGAAUACCAUCUCGCUUGAGAGUCGGAGGGGGGACUGGAAUACUUGGUGUAGCAGUGAAAUGCAUAGAUAUGUCAUAGAACACCGAUUGCGAAGGCAGCUGACAAAACUAUAACUGACGCUGAUGCACGAAAGUGCGGGGAUCAAACAGG
Molecule: ribosomal RNA, 253 nt
Filed under: uncultured bacterium
Lineage: Bacteria
Description: partial 16S ribosomal RNA
Rfam family: Bacterial small subunit ribosomal RNA
Source: RNAcentral